Molecule: ribosomal RNA, 246 nt
Filed under: uncultured bacterium
Lineage: Bacteria
Description: partial 16S ribosomal RNA
Rfam family: Bacterial small subunit ribosomal RNA
Source: RNAcentral
CGUAGGUGGCAAGCGUUGUCCGGAUUAUUGGCGUAAGCGAGCGCAGGCGGAAGAAUAAGUCUGAUGUGAAGCCCUCGGCUUAACCGAGGAACUGCAUCGGAACUGUUCUUGAGUGCAGAAGAGGAGAGUGGAACUCCAUGUGUAGCGGUGGAAUGCGUAGAUAUAUGGAAGAACACCAGUGGCGAAGGCGGCUCUCUGGUCUGCAACUGACGCUGAGGCUCGAAAGCAUGGGUAGCGAACAGGAUU